GACGAACGCUGGCGGCGUGCUUAACACAUGCAAGUCGAACGAUGAAGCCGGAGCUUGCUCCGGUGAAUUAGUGGCGAACGGGUGAGUAACACGUGAGUAACCUGCCCUUGACUCUGGGAUAACUGCGGGAAACUGUAGCUAAUACCGGAUACGACCCUCGGAGGCAUCUCCUGGGGGUGGAAAGAAUUUCGGUCAAGGAUGGACUCGCGGCCUAUCAGCUAGUUGGUGAGGUAAAGGCUCACCAAGGCGACGACGGGUAGCCGGCCUGGGAGGGUGACCGGCCACACUGGGACUGAGACACGGCCCAGACUCCGACGGGAGGCAGCAGUGGGGAAUAUUGCACAAUGGGCGCAAGCCUGAUGCAGCAACGUCGCGUGAGGGAUGACGGCCUUCGGGUUGUAAACCUCUUUUAGCAGGGAAGAAGCGAAAGUGACGGUACCUGCAGAAAAAGCACCGGCUAACUACGUGCCAGCCGCCGCGGUAA
Molecule: ribosomal RNA, 484 nt
Filed under: uncultured bacterium
Lineage: Bacteria
Description: partial 16S ribosomal RNA
Rfam family: Bacterial small subunit ribosomal RNA
Source: RNAcentral